This 368-nucleotide transfer-messenger RNA is filed under the name Enterococcaceae. Its description in RNAcentral is "Enterococcus_B villorum Standard tmRNA". It matches the Rfam family "transfer-messenger RNA". From Rfam's summary of the family: Bacterial tmRNA, also known as 10Sa RNA or SsrA, is named for its dual tRNA and mRNA-like properties. Its role is to liberate the mRNA from a stalled ribosome. To accomplish this part of the tmRNA is used as a reading frame that ends in a translation stop signal. RNAcentral also lists the same sequence under 1 other name. The record is from RNAcentral. Lineage: Bacteria; Bacillati; Bacillota; Bacilli; Lactobacillales.
GGGGACGUUACGGAUUCGACAGGCACAGUUUGAGCUUGAAUUGCGUUUCGUAGGUUACGUCUACGUUAAAACGUUACAGUUAAAUAUAACUGCUAAAAACGAAAACAACUCUUACGCUUUAGCUGCCUAAAAACAGUUAGCGUAGAUCCUCUCGGCAUCGCCCAUGUGCUCGAGUAAGGGUCUCAAAUUUAGUGGGAUACGUAUCAACUUUCCGUCUGUAAGUUGAUAAAGAGAUUAUCAGACUAGCGAUAUAGAAUGCCUGUCACUCGGCAAGCUAUAAAGCGAAUCUAUAAAUGAGUUGACUAUGAACGUAGAUUUUUAAGUGGCGAUGUGUUUGGACGCGGGUUCGACUCCCGCCGUCUCCAUUG